GACGUAGGAUGCAAGCAUUGUCCGGAUUUAUUGGGCGUAAAGAGUUCGUAGGUGGUUUGUUAAGUCUGAUGUUAAAGACCGGAGCUCAACUUCGGAACUGCAUUGGAUACUGGCAGACUAGAGUAUGUUAGAGGCAAGCGGAAUUCCCAGUGUAGCGGUGAAAUGCGUAGAUAUUGGGAAGAACACCGGUGGCGUAAGCGGCUUGCUGGGACAUAACUGACACUGAGGAACGAAAGCCAGGGGAGCGAAU
This 250-nucleotide ribosomal RNA is filed under the name uncultured bacterium. Its description in RNAcentral is "partial 16S ribosomal RNA". It matches the Rfam family "Bacterial small subunit ribosomal RNA", at positions 524 to 773 of the family's 1533-position model. The record is from RNAcentral.